UAAUACGGAGGGUGCAAGCGUUGUUCGGAAUUACUGGGCUUAAAGCGCGUGUAGGCGGGAUGCCAAGUGUCGUGUGAAAGCCCCGGGCUCAACCCGGGAAUUGCGCGGCAAACUGGUGUUCUUGAGGCAAGUAGAGGUGACUGGAACGACCGGUGGAGCGGUGAAAUGCGUAGAUAUCGGUUGGAACGCCGGAGGCGAAAGCGGGUCACUGGGCUUGUCCUGACGCUAAGACGCGAAAGCGUGGGGAGCAAACAGGAUUAGAUACCCUGGUAGUCCACGCCGUAAACGAUGCGCACUAGGUCUGAGAGGCUCUCACGCCCCUCGUGCCGAAGCAAAAGUGCUAAGUGCGCCGCCUGGGGAGUACGGCCGCAAGGCUA
Molecule: ribosomal RNA, 377 nt
Filed under: uncultured bacterium
Lineage: Bacteria
Description: bacterial SSU rRNA
Rfam family: Bacterial small subunit ribosomal RNA
Source: RNAcentral